RNAcentral lists this long non-coding RNA (396 nucleotides) under Mus musculus (house mouse). RNAcentral describes it as "RIKEN cDNA 0610031O16 gene". Lineage: Eukaryota; Metazoa; Chordata; Mammalia; Rodentia; Muridae. The record is from RNAcentral.
GAGUGAAGGAGUGAGCUCGCCAAGCACAACCAGCAGGGAUGAAAGGCUAACUCAGUGAACAACAGAAAGACAGACGGACUUCUGAACAGACACACCGACCAGCAGAAACCACUGGGGAAAGCAACAGUCAGCCAGUGCGACUGACUUAGAGUCCCAAACAGCUAUCUUCUUCUGGGGACAACAAAGAGAGGUGGCUCAGCAUGCAAGCAUGGGGAUUGGAGUCUCAAAACUUCGAGAAUCCACCUAAACCUGAGUGUGGUGGUGCAUGGCUCUAAUCCCUGUUUACAGCGGUGCCCAUCCUGCCUCUCCUGGGUGUGUGGCCUGCAAACAGGAACGUCUUCUGACUGAGGCACGGUUCACUCUUCUAUGGGUACCAGCAUCUUCGGCCUUCAAUAA